Molecule: ribosomal RNA, 552 nt
Filed under: Colletotrichum gloeosporioides
Lineage: Eukaryota; Fungi; Ascomycota; Sordariomycetes; Glomerellales; Glomerellaceae
Description: eukaryotic LSU rRNA
Rfam family: 5.8S ribosomal RNA (bases 191-344)
Source: RNAcentral
CCUGCGGAGGGAUCAUUACUGAGUUUACGCUCUAUAACCCUUUGUGAACAUACCUAUAACUGUUGCUUCGGCGGGUAGGGUCUCCGUGACCCUCCCGGCCUCCCGCCCCCGGGCGGGUCGGCGCCCGCCGGAGGAUAACCAAACUCUGAUUUAACGACGUUUCUUCUGAGUGGUACAAGCAAAUAAUCAAAACUUUUAACAACGGAUCUCUUGGUUCUGGCAUCGAUGAAGAACGCAGCGAAAUGCGAUAAGUAAUGUGAAUUGCAGAAUUCAGUGAAUCAUCGAAUCUUUGAACGCACAUUGCGCCCGCCAGCAUUCUGGCGGGCAUGCCUGUUCGAGCGUCAUUUCAACCCUCAAGCUCUGCUUGGUGUUGGGGCCCUACAGCUGAUGUAGGCCCUCAAAGGUAGUGGCGGACCCUCCCGGAGCCUCCUUUGCGUAGUAACUUUACGUCUCGCACUGGGAUCCGGAGGGACUCUUGCCGUAAAACCCCCAAUUCUCCAAAGGUUGACCUCGGAUCAGGUAGGAAUACCCGCUGAACUUAAGCAUAUCAUA